RNAcentral lists this transfer RNA (72 nucleotides) under Friedmanniomyces endolithicus. Its description in RNAcentral is "tRNA-Ala". It matches the Rfam family "tRNA". From Rfam's summary of the family: Transfer RNA (tRNA) molecules are approximately 80 nucleotides in length. Their secondary structure includes four short double-helical elements and three loops (D, anti-codon, and T loops). The record is from RNAcentral. Lineage: Eukaryota; Fungi; Ascomycota; Dothideomycetes; Mycosphaerellales; Teratosphaeriaceae.
GGGCCGUAGCUCAGUUGGUAGAGCGCGUCGUUCGCAAUGACGAGGUCAGGGGUUCGACUCCCCUCGGCUCCA